CGCCGACCGGGCCGCCGUCGAGGUCGGCGCCGACCGCGUGCUCCGGGUCGCGCCGAUGGACCGCGAGCGGUUCCUCGCCGCCGUCCGCGCC
This 91-nucleotide transfer RNA is filed under the name Dactylosporangium siamense. Its description in RNAcentral is "tRNA-Gly". The record is from RNAcentral. Lineage: Bacteria; Bacillati; Actinomycetota; Actinomycetes; Micromonosporales; Micromonosporaceae.